CCAAGGGACCAUUGUUACACCGUGGGGCUUCAUGGAAUCAUGGAGAGCACUGUGAUAUUUCGCUCGCCUCAUGGAACAGGGGGACCAUACUAAAGCUGUAUGGUUCCAUGGACACUAGGGACCAUUGUGACACUGUGAGGCCCCAUCUACAGAGGGUCCAUUGUGACACCAAGGGGCCUCAUAGAACUGUGGAGACCAUUAUGAUGCUUUGGGGUGUCAUGGAACCAAGGGGCCAUUGUGACACAGUUGAUGAGUUCUCUUAGAAGAUGUGGUUGUAGAUGCAAGGAGAAAUGAGGUCUUUCUAGAGAAAGAGCAGGGGCAGACUGCUUAUCAGAGAUGCCAUGCCAGGCUCAGGGAGAGCUGUUCCCAGCCCGAGAGCAGGAAGAGCAGCUCAGGCAGCAGGUGGAAGAGCCACAGCAGAAUGGCCAGAACAUCAAGGCAGAGCCACAAGCAGAGCUGCCCGAAGCUCAGAGUGCCAUCAUGGCAGUGAAGAGAAAGAACAAGGAAGACAUGAGAAGAAUUCAAGAGGAGAUGAAUCUCCAUCAGCACAGGGGCGAUCAACAAAACCAGGUGAGAGAAAGAGUGGCAGCCACUCCACUCAUGAAACUUCCUCUCCAUUGUUGUUUACAAACCAUCAAGGAAGAUGUGCAGGCAGAGCUGCAGGAAUCUGAGGCUAGGAACAAGGCAAGGGAGAAGAGGCUGGAAGAAGAAAUGAAAAUCAUCAGAGAGAAAGUUAAUCACCUCCCUCAGGCUCUACAAAAGCAAGUGAGUGAAGGAGGGACAGCCACUGCAGUCACCAAACUGAUGCUUUCUGCCCUUCUUGCCUUUCAGUGCAGAGCAGCAGGGAGUGGGGCCAUGCCUCUGAGUGCCAUCCUGCUCUAGUAUAUAUCACAGUCACUCUGAAGGACAUUUCCUGCUGGAUCUCAAGUGCUGCCCUGGACAGUGGGACUUGUUCUUUGGCUUUUGGCCAGCAAUCAUCCAAAUUGAUUCCUGCUGGCAUGUUCCUGCUCUCUCUGUUUCUUUACAGGGGAACAUGGUGACCCAGAGGAGGAUUGAAACAAGCUGUCUGUAUCCCUUGUAUAUCUGUUCUUUCCCUUUGCUCACAGUCAAUGACUCUUGGCUGAGAGGGACAAGCUGUGGUCUCUGAUUGCUUUGUUCUCUGACUUGAGGUGCAAGUGUCGACAUCUCACCUGG
Long non-coding RNA from Passer domesticus (house sparrow), 1194 nucleotides. RefSeq lists it as uncharacterized. The record is from RefSeq and is a predicted model, not a curated record. The transcript is spliced from 3 exons. Lineage: Eukaryota; Metazoa; Chordata; Aves; Passeriformes; Passeridae.